This 252-nucleotide ribosomal RNA is filed under the name uncultured bacterium. RNAcentral's name for it is "partial 16S ribosomal RNA". It matches the Rfam family "Bacterial small subunit ribosomal RNA", at positions 524 to 776 of the family's 1533-position model. The record is from RNAcentral.
GACGUAGGGGGCCAGCGUUGUUCGGAAUUACUGGGUGUAAAGGGUUCGUAGGCGGUGCGGCAAGUUGGGAGUGAAAUCUCUGGGCUUAACCCAGAGGCUGCUUCCAAAACUGCUGUGCUUGAGUGUGGGAGAGGCGCGUGGAAUUGCAGGUGUAGCGGUGAAAUGCGUAGAUAUCUGCAGGAACACCCGUGGCGAAAGCGGCGCGCUGGACCACUACUGACGCUGGGAACGAAAGCUAGGGGAGCAAACAGG